CAGCAGCCGCGGGAAUACGAAGGGUGCAAGCGUUAAUCGGAAUUACUGGGCGUAAAGCGUGCGUAGGCGGUGAGUCAAGUCUGCUGCGAAAUCCCCGGGCUCAACCUGGGAAUGGCAAUGGAUACUGGCAAGCUAGAGUGUGUCAGAGGAUGGUGGAAUUCCCGGUGUAGCGGUGAAAUGCGUAGAGAUCGGGAGGAACAUCAGUGGCGAAGGCGGCCAUCUGGGACAACACUGACGCUGAGGCACGAAAGCGUGGGGAGCAAACAGGAUUAGAUACCCCUGUAGUCCCUGUCUCUUAUAC
Molecule: ribosomal RNA, 301 nt
Filed under: uncultured bacterium
Lineage: Bacteria
Description: partial 16S ribosomal RNA
Rfam family: Bacterial small subunit ribosomal RNA
Source: RNAcentral